GACGAACGCUGGCGGCGCGCCUAACACAUGCAAGUCGAACGAGCGAGAGGAGGUUUACUUUCUCAAGCGAGUGGCGAACGGGUGAGUAACGCGUGAGGAACCUGCCUCAAAGAGGGGGACAACAGUUGGAAACGACUGCUAAUACCGCAUAAGCCCACGACCCGGCAUCGGGUAGAGGGAAAAGGAGCAAUCCGCUUUGAGAUGGCCUCGCGUCCGAUUAGCUAGUUGGUGAGGUAAUGGCCCACCAAGGCGACGAUCGGUAGCCGGACUGAGAGGUUGAACGGCCACAUUGGGACUGAGACACGGCCCAGACUCCUACGGGAGGCAGCAGUGGGGAAUAUUGCACAAUGGGGGAAACCCUGAUGCAGCGACGCCGCGUGGAGGAAGAAGGUCUUCGGAUUGUAAACUCCUGUUGUUGAGGAAGAUAAUGACAGUACUCAACAAGGAAGUGACGGCUAACUACGUG
Molecule: ribosomal RNA, 466 nt
Filed under: uncultured bacterium
Lineage: Bacteria
Description: partial 16S ribosomal RNA
Rfam family: Bacterial small subunit ribosomal RNA
Source: RNAcentral